Melanotaenia boesemani (Boeseman's rainbowfish) is the source of this 688-nucleotide long non-coding RNA. RefSeq lists it as uncharacterized. The record is from RefSeq and is a predicted model, not a curated record. NCBI's taxonomy places the organism in Eukaryota, Metazoa, Chordata, Actinopteri, Atheriniformes, Melanotaeniidae. The transcript is spliced from 3 exons.
GCUUUCAGGCGCACCAGAACAUACAAAAACACACGUGUCAUAAUUGACUGCUCUGAAAUAUUCAUACAGCGCCCAUCCAACUUACUUGCUCGAAACAUCACAUACUCCAAAUACAAGCAUCACAACACAUUGAAGCUGUUGGUGGGUAUUACACCAACAGGGGCAGUGUCAUUUCUGUCCAAGUGUUGGGGCGGCCGGGUAUCAGACAAGGAGCUGACAAUCAACAGUGGUUUCCUUGACCAGCUUGAGCAUGGAGACCAGGUUAUGGCUGAUCGAGGAUUUCUUAUCCGAGAGGAACUUCUCUGCAGAGGAGCAAGCCUUGUUAUCCCAGCAUUCACGAAGGGCAAAAAUCAGCUUAGCCACAAGGAAGUCAUCAGAUCACGCAAGAUUGCCAAUGUCAGAAUCCAUGUGGAACGGGCUAUUGGCCGUAUGAAGAAAUUCCGGAUUCUGAACACAACAUGGAAUCUUAGUCUGGUGAAGAAUGCUGACAACAUUGUUGUAAUCAUUGCUGCUCUUGUAAAUCUUCUACCUCCAUUAGUGAAAUAAGAUUUCAUUUGUUGCCCCUACAUUUAUUUUAUCCUUUUUGUUGAGAGUCUGCAUUUCAUUUUUUUUUUAAAAAAGCUCUCUGGAAAAGGGCACUUUAAAUGUGCCACAUAAAUCAGAUUUUGCCAUAGCAUUGUAAUUUGAC